RNAcentral lists this ribosomal RNA (1019 nucleotides) under Alternariaster helianthi. Its description in RNAcentral is "SSU rRNA". It matches the Rfam family "Eukaryotic small subunit ribosomal RNA", at positions 75 to 1104 of the family's 1831-position model. Lineage: Eukaryota; Fungi; Ascomycota; Dothideomycetes; Pleosporales; Leptosphaeriaceae. The record is from RNAcentral.
UAUACCGUGAAACUGCGAAUGGCUCAUUAAAUCAGUUAUCGUUUAUUUGAUAGUACCUUACUACUUGGAUAACCGUGGUAAUUCUAGAGCUAAUACAUGCUAAAAACCCCAACUUCGGAAGGGGUGUAUUUAUUAGAUAAAAAACCAACGCCCUUCGGGGCUUCUUGGUGAUUCAUGAUAACUUUACGGAUCGCAUGGCCUUGCGCCGGCGACGGUUCAUUCAAAUUUCUGCCCUAUCAACUUUCGAUGGUAAGGUAUUGGCUUACCAUGGUUUCAACGGGUAACGGGGAAUUAGGGUUCGAUUCCGGAGAGGGAGCCUGAGAAACGGCUACCACAUCCAAGGAAGGCAGCAGGCGCGCAAAUUACCCAAUCCCGACACGGGGAGGUAGUGACAAUAAAUACUGAUACAGGGCUCUUUUGGGUCUUGUAAUUGGAAUGAGUACAAUUUAAACCUCUUAACGAGGAACAAUUGGAGGGCAAGUCUGGUGCCAGCAGCCGCGGUAAUUCCAGCUCCAAUAGCGUAUAUUAAAGUUGUUGCAGUUAAAAAGCUCGUAGUUGAAACUUGGGUCUGGCUGGCAGGUCCGCCUCACCGCGUGUACUUGUCCGGCCGGGCCUUCCUUCUGGAGAACCUCAUGCCCUUCACUGGGCGUGCUGGGGACCAGGACUUUUACUUUGAAAAAAUUAGAGUGUUCAAAGCAGGCCUUUGCUCGAAUACGUUAGCAUGGAAUAAUAGAAUAGGACGUGCGGUCCUAUUUUGUUGGUUUCUAGGACCGCCGUAAUGAUUAAUAGGGACAGUCGGGGGCAUCAGUAUUCAAUUGUCAGAGGUGAAAUUCUUGGAUUUAUUGAAGACUAACUACUGCGAAAGCAUUUGCCAAGGAUGUUUUCAUUAAUCAGUGAACGAAAGUUAGGGGAUCGAAGACGAUCAGAUACCGUCGUAGUCUUAACCGUAAACUAUGCCGACUAGGGAUCGGGCGAUGUUCUUUUUCUGACUCGCUCGGCACCUUACGAGAAAUCAAAGU